Molecule: ribosomal RNA, 254 nt
Filed under: uncultured bacterium
Lineage: Bacteria
Description: partial 16S ribosomal RNA
Rfam family: Bacterial small subunit ribosomal RNA
Source: RNAcentral
UACAGAGGUCUCAAGCGUUGUUCGGAAUCACUGGGCGUAAAGGGUGCGUAGGCGGCGGGGAAAGUCAGAUGUGAAAUCCGGAGGCUCAACCUCCGAAUUGCAUCCGAUACUCCCUCGCUAGAGAUUUGUAGAGGAGCUUGGAAUUCUCGGUGUAGCAGUGAAAUGCGUAGAUAUCGAGAAGAACGCUCGCAGCGAAGGCGAAGCUCUGGGCAAAUUCUGACGCUGAUGCACGAAGGCUAGGGGAGCAAACGGGG